UUCCAGUCUUUCCUCGUUCUAAAGGAAGUAUUUUAUGAACUCAGAAUAGCUUGCUUAAAUAACUACGGAAAGCAGGAAAGUAGGAUUUCUUCCAGGCUAGUCUUAAGAGCCAAGAACGCUGUACAUUUAGGCACAAAAGUCUGCUAACACACCUUUUCUGUUCCUGCAAUCCUCAGGCCAGUUCUUUGAGAUGAAGUGCUUAUUAGCUGCUGAGCUGAAAGGAACUUCAGUGACUAUCUCAUACAGCCAUCUCCUGUUACCAAUGAGAAAACCAAGACCCAAAGGAGAAAGUGAACUGUAUAUAACUCACCCCAAGAAUCUGGAGAUGCGGCUUUGGCUUGAUUCCCCACCUCAGCCACAGAGUUGCUGGGUACUUGAAGACAGGACCUCUACUAUCCUUACAGUGCCCUGGAAGAGCCUAAUUCCGGUCUUCAUCUUAGGCAUCCUACGACAGACACAGUACUCUACACUGGCACCUGCUCCCCGAGUGCCUCCUUGUCAUCCGGACAGAGUCAUAUGUGGAGUGGAGGAAAGAGGACCAGUAUGGCGAUAUUCUAAUUGGCCAAGCAGGCUUGAGCACCGCCAGCCACAUUUCUGGAGUUUGUAGACACAAGUGACAAGCACCCUACGUGCUUCAGUAUUCAAGAGCACAUACACUCCCACCAGCUUCUAUAUACCAAAAACCCAACUUCCUGUAAACAGAGACAAGCCCAGGCAUUUGCCUGGACUGUUCAUCGUAUCCUGGUUUACUUUGAGGUAGCUGUGUCUCUAACAGACCCAUUAAAAAAUAAGUUCCAUUCAUGUGUCAUCCACCAGGGAAAAACUUCCUGACAAUCACUGAGGAAAUGAAAAUUAUGAGGCCAGAUCAAACAAGGGAUUCAGAAUUUUUUUUUAAAAAAAAAAAAGCAGGUUUUAAAGUGGUUGUCAAAAAAAGACUAUGAAAUAGUUAUUGAUGCAAGUGUGUGAGCUUGCUCACUAAUAAAUGUGCACACACAUGUUGCAGCCCUUCAGAUACAAGGCCAGUGAUGGGAAAAGGGCUUAAUAUUGAUAUCUUCAGGAUUAAAAAAAAAAAUCUCAUAAGCAUAUGCAGGUACAUACGAUAGAAUCUGUUGUUUAUUUCUUUUUUUAAUAUAGAUUUCUUGAUUAGACAGUUGCUACCAGGAUGGAUAGAUACAUCAGUGACACAAAGCUUCAGGGUGACAGCUCACCAAGACACAUUGGGGUUUUUUUGUAUUAGAAAGAAAAAGACAUAAAAAUUAAUCUGGAAUCAAGGUCUCUCUGUCCUUCAGUGUGCCAUACCCCUGCUACUGUUGAAAUAGGAAGGAAAUGGGCACCAAAGGGUAUCUGACCACACUUUACGAUCACCUGGUGGUGGUGGCAGGGACCUCAACAGUUUUAGCAUUCAAUUAUUUCCAGGUGACUGCAGCUGUUCUAACUGCCAUUCAGCAAGGGCUAGAGGACAAGCAUCUUACCG
Cricetulus griseus (Chinese hamster) is the source of this 1474-nucleotide non-coding RNA. Lineage: Eukaryota; Metazoa; Chordata; Mammalia; Rodentia; Cricetidae. The record is from RefSeq and is a predicted model, not a curated record.